RNAcentral lists this unclassified non-coding RNA (320 nucleotides) under plant metagenome. RNAcentral describes it as "partial contains 5.8S ribosomal RNA, internal transcribed spacer 2, and large subunit ribosomal RNA". The stretch from base 1 to 105 matches the Rfam family "5.8S ribosomal RNA", at positions 50 to 154 of the family's 154-position model. The record is from RNAcentral.
GAAAUGCGAUAAGUAAUGUGAAUUGCAGAAUUCAGUGAAUCAUCGAAUCUUUGAACGCACAUUGUGCCCGCCAGUAUUCUGGCGGGCAUGCCUGUUCGAGCGUCAUUACAACCCUCAGGCCCCCGGGCCUGGCGUUGGGGAUCGGCGGAAGCCCCCUGCGGGCACAACGCCGUCCCCCAAAUACAGUGGCGGUCCCGCCGCAGCUUCCAUUGCGUAGUAGCUAACACCUCGCAACUGGAGAGCGGCGCGGCCACGCCGUAAAACACCCAACUUCUGAAUGUUGACCUCGAAUCAGGUAGGAAUACCCGCUGAGCUUAAGC